GGAGCCAUACCCAAGCGGUAAGGGAGCGGUCUGCAAAACCGUUAUGCAUCAGUUCGAUUCUGAUUGGCUCCU
Molecule: transfer RNA, 72 nt
Filed under: Spirochaetaceae bacterium
Lineage: Bacteria; Pseudomonadati; Spirochaetota; Spirochaetia; Spirochaetales; Spirochaetaceae
Description: tRNA-Cys
Rfam family: tRNA
About the family: Transfer RNA (tRNA) molecules are approximately 80 nucleotides in length. Their secondary structure includes four short double-helical elements and three loops (D, anti-codon, and T loops).
Source: RNAcentral